RNAcentral lists this ribosomal RNA (254 nucleotides) under uncultured bacterium. RNAcentral's name for it is "partial 16S ribosomal RNA". It matches the Rfam family "Bacterial small subunit ribosomal RNA", at positions 524 to 777 of the family's 1533-position model. The record is from RNAcentral.
UACGAAGGGUGCAAACGUUGCUCGGAAUCAUUGGGCGUAAAGCGCACGUAGGCGGCCUUGUAAGUCGGAUGUGAAAUCCCACGGCUCAACCGUGGAAGUGCAUCCGAAACUGCGAGGCUCGAGUAUGGAAGAGGGUCGCAGAAUUCCCGGUGUAGAGGUGAAAUUCGUAGAUAUCGGGAGGAAUACCAGUGGCGAAGGCGGCGACCUGGGCCAAUACUGACGCUGAGGUGCGAAAGCGUGGGGAGCAAACAGGG